Molecule: long non-coding RNA, 208 nt
Filed under: Sus scrofa (pig)
Lineage: Eukaryota; Metazoa; Chordata; Mammalia; Artiodactyla; Suidae
Description: lncRNA (ENSSSCG00070003321.1)
Source: RNAcentral
CUUUAUUCAAAUAGAUCGCACAGCAGAGGGACCUCCAAGGCAGACAUCAGGAGAAACGGAGUCAAAGCAAGAUGUGCCCCAGAGACCUCCUUGGGCGAGUGGAUUAGGCAACUCUAAGAGGGCUAAACAAGAGGAUCCAAGAAAUAGAGGCAUAGAAGAGGCCCACACGGCUUCUCCGGAAAAACAUCCUCACUCGAAGCCUCCAGUU